ACGGACGAGAAGCUUGCUUCUCUGAUGUUAGCGGCGGACGGGUGAGUAACACGUGGAUAACCUACCUAUAAGACUGGGAUAACUUCGGGAAACCGUAGCUAAUACCGGAUAAUAUUUUGAACCGCAUGGUUCAAAAGUGAAAGACGGUCUUGCUGUCACUUAUAGAUGGAUCCGCGCUGCAUUAGCUAGUUGGUAAGGUAACGGCUUACCAAGGCAACGAUGCAUAGCCGACCUGAGAGGGUGAUCGGCCACACUGGAACUGAGACACGGUCCAGACCCCUACGGGAGGCAGCAGUAGGGAAUCUUCCGCAAUGGGCGAAAGCCUGACGGAGCAACGCCGCGUGAGUGAUGAAGGUCUUCGGAUCGUAAAACUCUGUUAUUAGGGAAGAACAUAUGUGUAAGUAACUGUGCACAUCUUGACGGUACCUAAUCGGAAAGCCACGGCUAACUACGUGCCAGCAGCCGCGGUAAUACGUAGGUGGCAAGCGUUAUCCGGAAUUAUUGGGCGUAAAGCGCGCGUAGGCGGUUUUUUAAGUCUGAUGUGAAAGCCCACGGCUCAACCGUGGAGGGUCAUUGGAAACUGGAAAACUUGAGUGCAGAAGAGGAAAUGUGGAAUUCCAUGUGUAGCGGUGAAAUGCGCAGAGAUAUGGAGGAACACCAGUGGCGUAAGGCGACUUUCUGGUCUGUAACUGACGCUGAUGUGCGAAAGCGUGGGGAUCAAACAGGAUUAGAUACCCUGGUAGUCCACGCCGUAAACGAUGAGUGCUAAGUGUUAGGGGUUUCCGCCCCUUAGUGCUGCAGCUAACGCAUUAAGCACUCCGCC
This 823-nucleotide ribosomal RNA is filed under the name uncultured Staphylococcus sp. RNAcentral's name for it is "bacterial SSU rRNA". It matches the Rfam family "Bacterial small subunit ribosomal RNA", at positions 69 to 873 of the family's 1533-position model. Lineage: Bacteria; Bacillati; Bacillota; Bacilli; Caryophanales; Staphylococcaceae. The record is from RNAcentral.